Long non-coding RNA from Oncorhynchus kisutch (coho salmon), 774 nucleotides. RefSeq lists it as uncharacterized. NCBI's taxonomy places the organism in Eukaryota, Metazoa, Chordata, Actinopteri, Salmoniformes, Salmonidae. The transcript is spliced from 2 exons. The record is from RefSeq and is a predicted model, not a curated record.
AGUGGGUAACAAAAUGGUACCCUAUUCCCUAUUUAGUGCUUACAUUUUGACCUGGGCGAGCGUCCCAAACAGCACCUAUAGAGGGCUUGCAAGUACGUCACAGAUCACCUAGCAACCCCCAUGUUGGAAGCCCAAACUCAAGUCUGAUGAAGUCCUCCAAUCAUCCACUUGGCUGGCUGCGUUUUGUUACCACCGGAAACUUCGGGAAGAUGUCCCAGGAAAUGGAGUCAGUGGGAGAACCUAUUCAAAUACAGAGUGCUGUGAAACCCUGUCUGCAGAUGAAGAGGUCCCAAUUAAUGUCCCAAGAGAAUAUACCAUGGAUUAUAUAUUAGUACAUUUUUGUGAAGAAAAAUACAGUUUAAAAGUCACACAAUGUAUAAACACAUUACAACUGGAGCAGGCCAACCGUACUGGGUGUGCAGGCUUCUGUUCCAGCCCUGCACUAACACACCUGAUUCAAUGUAUCAAACCUAAUGAGUUAAUAAUCAGGCGUGAUAAUGCUGGACUGGAACAGAAGUCUGUUCCCCCAGUAGAUCAGUGAUGUUGGACACCUCUGGUAUUGACUUUAUUUUUUGUUCACCUGAAAUUGUUUUAGUAAUAACGACAUACGUGUUACUAAAAUGUCUAACCUUUUACCUAGGAGUUAGCUUACACUUUGACCGUGUUGAUUUGUGCAGUUAAGUGUUAAUGUAACCAUUAUUCAAGAUGAACUAGUGUUGAUGUUGAUUGAUCACAGAUUACAAUCCUGCAAUAAAGAGGGGAAUCUGUCUCUAA